RNAcentral lists this long non-coding RNA (278 nucleotides) under Lathyrus oleraceus (garden pea). RNAcentral's name for it is "Pisum sativum (pea) long non-coding RNA (PSAT_LNC033476)". The record is from RNAcentral. Lineage: Eukaryota; Viridiplantae; Streptophyta; Magnoliopsida; Fabales; Fabaceae.
UUUAAUUCUCUCUUUCUUUUGUUUUUCUUGAACCCCAGAGCAUAUAUCUUCUUGCGCGCGGAUGAUCCCGGAUCACCGCAUUUGAACCCCGACAAUCCUUUGAUUGAUUCUCUUCUGUUUGCCAAAUCAUGAACCCCGUUCUCCAUUUUCCCAUGCUAAUUCCGUUGGCAAUGUCGGAAAUAACACCAACCACCACUCUGAUGGCGAUAUAUCAGAGGGUAUUCGAUCAGACAUUUACCAAUGACUGGGAAGGAACUCGACGUUUACUGACAUCGAAC